This 309-nucleotide ribosomal RNA is filed under the name Paratanaisia sp. YLH-2017. RNAcentral describes it as "eukaryotic LSU rRNA". It matches the Rfam family "Eukaryotic large subunit ribosomal RNA", at positions 117 to 399 of the family's 3401-position model. The record is from RNAcentral. Lineage: Eukaryota; Metazoa; Platyhelminthes; Trematoda; Plagiorchiida; Eucotylidae.
AAGCCUGUGUCCACUUGGUCACUAGGCAAUGUGGUGUUCAGGUCGUUCCGCAGAGACACUGCUCCACCCUAAGUCCAGCAAUGAGUACGGUGGUAUGGACAUGGCCCAUAGAGGGUGAAAGGCCCGUAGGGGUGGAGGUUCGGCAUGUCAGUGUCUCUCUGGGUAGACCUUGGAGUCGGGUUGUUUGUGAAUGCAGCCCAAAGUGGGUAGUAAACUCCAUCCAAGGCUAAAUACUUGCACGAGUCCGAUAGCAAACAAGUACCGUGAGGGAAAGUUGAAAAGUACUUUGAAGAGAGGGUAAACAGCACG